Molecule: unclassified non-coding RNA, 379 nt
Filed under: uncultured Pseudomonadota bacterium
Lineage: Bacteria; Pseudomonadati; Pseudomonadota
Description: uncultured proteobacterium contains 16S-23S intergenic spacer region
Source: RNAcentral
UCCGGUUUGUCACCGGCAGUCUCGCAUGAGUCCCCAGCUUUACCUGCUGGCAACGUGCGACGAGGGUUGCGCUCGUUGCGGGACUUAACCCAACAUCUCACGACACGAGCUGACGACAGCCAAGCACCACCUGUGUGUAGGCCCCGUAAGGGGAGGAAUCCAUCUCUGGAAGCCGUCCUACCAUGUCAAACGCUGGUAAGGUUCUGCGCGUUGCUUCGAAUUAAACCACAUCAUCCACCGCUUGUGCGGGUCCCCGUCAAUUCCUUUGAGUUUUAACCUUGCGGCCGUACUCCCCAGGCGGCUCACUUCACGCGUUAGCUACGGUACCAAGGAAUCGCUUCCCCAACACCUAGUGAGCAUCGUUUAGGGCGUGGACUAC